CGGACGGGUGAGUAACGCGUGAGAAUCUAACUUCAGGACGGGGACAACAGUUGGAAACGACUGCUAAUACCCGAUGUGCCGCAAGGUGAAACCUAAUUGGCCUGGAGAAGAGCUUGCGUCUGAUUAGCUAGUUGGUGGGGUAAAGGCCUACCAAGGCGACGAUCAGUAGCUGGUCUGAGAGGAUGAGCAGCCACACUGGGACUGAGACACGGCCCAGACUCCUACGGGAGGCAGCAGUGGGGAAUUUUCCGCAAUGGGCGAAAGCCUGACGGAGCAACGCCGCGUGAGGGAGGAAGGUCUUUGGAUUGUAAACCUCUUUUCUCAAGGAAGAAGUUCUGACGGUACUUGAGGAAUCAGCCUCGGCUAACUCCGUGCCAGCAGCCGCGGUAAUACGGGGGAGGCAAGCGUUAUCCGGAAUUAUUGGGCGUAAAGCGUCCGCAGGUGGUCAGCCAAGUCUGCCGUCAAAUCAGGUUGCUUAACGACCUAAAGGCGGUGGAAACUGGCAGACUAGAGAGCAGUAGGGGUAGCAGGAAUUCCCAGUGUAGCGGUGAAAUGCGUAGAGAUUGGGAAGAACAUCGGUGGCGAAAGCGUGCUACUGGGCUGUAUCUGACACUCAGGGACGAAAGCUAGGGGA
RNAcentral lists this ribosomal RNA (634 nucleotides) under uncultured cyanobacterium. Its description in RNAcentral is "bacterial SSU rRNA". It matches the Rfam family "Bacterial small subunit ribosomal RNA", at positions 99 to 767 of the family's 1533-position model. The record is from RNAcentral. Lineage: Bacteria; Bacillati; Cyanobacteriota.